Molecule: ribosomal RNA, 238 nt
Filed under: uncultured bacterium
Lineage: Bacteria
Description: partial 16S ribosomal RNA
Rfam family: Bacterial small subunit ribosomal RNA
Source: RNAcentral
CGGCACGGGUAAGUAACACGUAUCCAACCUGCCGUCUACUCUUGGCCAGCCUUCUGAAAGGAAGAUUAAUCCAGGAUGGCAUCAUGAGUUCACAUGUCCGCAUGAUUAAAGGUAUUUUCCGGUAGACGAUGGGGAUGCGUUCCAUUAGAUAGUAGGCGGGGUAACGGCCCACCUAGUCUUCGAUGGAUAGGGGUUCUGAGAGGAAGGUCCCCCACAUUGGAACUGAGACACGGUCCAA